AUGAACGCUGGCGGCAUGCCUAAGACAUGCAAGUCGAACGAAGUGGUCCAAUGAAGAUGGAGUGCUUGCACGAAAUCAGAUUUGGGUUGCCACUUAGUGGACGAAAGGGUGAGUAACACGUAGGUUAUCUACCUUUAAGACUGGAAUAACAAUUAGAAAUGAUUGCUAAUACCGGAUGAUAUAUAGAGUGAUACGUUACUUUAUAUUAAAAGGAGCCUUUAAAGCUUCACUUAAAGAUGGACCCGCGUCUGAUUAGCUGGUUGGUGAGGUAACGGCCCACCAAGGCGACGAUCAGUAGCCGACCUGAGAGGGUGACCGGCCACAUUGGGACUGAGACACGGCCCAAACUCCUACGGGAGGCAGCAGGUGGGGAAUAUUGCACAAUGGGGGAAACCCUGAUGCAGCGACGCCGCGUGGAGGAAGAAGGUCUUCGGAUUGUAAACUCCUGUUGUUGAGGAAGAUAAUGACGGUACUCAACAAGGAAGUGACGGCUAACUACGUG
This 502-nucleotide ribosomal RNA is filed under the name uncultured bacterium. RNAcentral's name for it is "bacterial SSU rRNA". It matches the Rfam family "Bacterial small subunit ribosomal RNA", at positions 29 to 507 of the family's 1533-position model. The record is from RNAcentral.